CAGAGUAAAAUUUCGGGCGUAUAUUGUUUGAAAUAACAGUAUGAAGUGUUCACCGAACGGGGAGUUGUCGGUGAAACGAAAGAAAAUUCUGCGAUCCGGAGUUUGCAUCCCGCUGU
This 116-nucleotide non-coding RNA is filed under the name bovine gut metagenome. RNAcentral's name for it is "THF riboswitch". It matches the Rfam family "THF (Tetrahydrofolate) riboswitch aptamer". Rfam says of the family: THF riboswitch presents a pseudoknot that joins P1-P2 and the loop of P3 and two THF binding. The record is from RNAcentral.